Molecule: ribosomal RNA, 771 nt
Filed under: uncultured bacterium
Lineage: Bacteria
Description: bacterial SSU rRNA
Rfam family: Bacterial small subunit ribosomal RNA
Source: RNAcentral
GAUUUUGAUCCUGGCUCAGGACGAACGCUGGCGGUGCGCUUAAUGCAUGCAAGUCGAACGAGAACGGCGGCUUCGGUCGCUAAGUAAAGUGGCAGACGGCUGAGUAACACGUAAGUAACCAACCCCGGAGCGGGGAAUAAUCAUGAGAAAUCGUGCCUAAUACCCCGUACGUCCCAACAGGCGUUGCCGUUGGGGGAAAGGCUUCGGUCGCUUCUGGAGGGGCUUGCGGCCUAUCAGGUAGUUGGCGGGGUAAUGGCCCACCAAGCCGAAGACGGGUAACCGGUGUGAGAGCAUGAUCGGUCAGAGGGGGACUGAGAUACGGCCCCCACUCCUACGGGAGGCAGCAGCAGGGAAUCUUGCGCAAUGGGCGAAAGCCUGACGCAGCGACACCGCGUGGGGGAAGAAGGCUUUAGGGUUGUAAACCCCUUUUCUCGGGGAAGACAAAGGACGGUACCCGAGGAAUAAGGUUCGGCUAACUACGUGCCAGCAGCCGCGGUAAGACGUAGGAACCGAGCGUUGUCCGGAUUUACUGGGCGUAAAGAGCGCGUAGGCGGCUUAUGAAGUCCCAUGUGAAAUCUCCCGGCUCAACUGGGAGGGGUCAUGGGAAACUGGUAGGCUGGAGGUCAGUAGAGGAAAGUGGAAUUCCCGGAGUAGUGGUGAUAUGCGUAGAUACCGGGAGGAACACCAGAGGCGAAGGCGGCUUUCUGGACUGCACCUGACGCUGAGGCGCGAGAGCAUGGGGAGCAAACCGGAUUAGAUACCCUGGUAGUC